Molecule: ribosomal RNA, 465 nt
Filed under: uncultured bacterium
Lineage: Bacteria
Description: partial 16S ribosomal RNA
Rfam family: Bacterial small subunit ribosomal RNA
Source: RNAcentral
CCUACGGGUGGCAGCAGUGGGGAAUAUUGGGCAAUGGAGGAAACUCUGACCCAGCAAUGCCGCGUGAGUGAAGAAGGGUUUCGGCUCGUAAAGCUCUGUUGGUAGUGAAGAAAGAUAGAGGUAGUAACUGGCCUUUAUUUGACGGUAAUUACUUAGAAAGUCACGGCUAACUACGUGCCAGCAGCCGCGGUAAUACGUAGGUGGCAAGCGUUGUCCGGAUUUAUUGGGCGUAAGGCGAGUGCAGGCGGUUCAAUAAGUCUGAUGUGAAAGCCUUCGGCUCAACCGGAGAAUUGCAUCAGAAACUGUUGAACUUGAGUGCAGAAGAGGAGAGUGGAACUCCAUGUGUAGCGGUGGAAUGCGUAGAUAUAUGGAAGAACACCAGUGGCGAAGGCGGCUCUCUGGUCUGCAACUGACGCUGAGGCUCGAAAGCAUGGGUAGCGAACAGGAUUAGAUACCCUUGUAGUC